GCAUCCAUGGCUGAAUGGUUAAAGCGCCCAACCUAAUAAAGAGGCAAGUAGGUUCGAUUCCUGCUGGAUGCA
Molecule: transfer RNA, 72 nt
Organism: Arabidopsis thaliana (thale cress)
Lineage: Eukaryota; Viridiplantae; Streptophyta; Magnoliopsida; Brassicales; Brassicaceae
Rfam family: tRNA
About the family: Transfer RNA (tRNA) molecules are approximately 80 nucleotides in length.
Source: Rfam